This is a long non-coding RNA of Astyanax mexicanus (Mexican tetra), 618 nucleotides long. RefSeq lists it as uncharacterized. Lineage: Eukaryota; Metazoa; Chordata; Actinopteri; Characiformes; Acestrorhamphidae. The record is from RefSeq and is a predicted model, not a curated record. The transcript has 5 exons.
UAAUAGUGUUGAGGGAAGGUGUAAUGUAAAGGUGUAAUAGUGUUGAGGGAAGGUGUAAUAGUGUUGAGGGAAGGUGUAAUGUUAAAGGUGUAAUAGUGUUGAGGGAAGGUAUAAUGUAAAGGUGUAAUAGUGUUGAGGGAAGGUAUAAUGUAAAGGUGUAAUAGUGUUGAGGGAAGGUAUAAUGUAAAGGUGUAAUAGUGUUGAGGGAAGGUGUAAUGUAAAGGUGUAAUAGUUUUGAGGGAAGGUGUAAUAGUGUUGAGGGAAGGUGUAAUGUUAAAGGUGUAAUAGUUUUGAGGGAAGGUGUAAUAGUGUUGAUGGAAGGUAUAAUGUAAAGGUGUAAUAGUUUAAAGGGAAGGUAUAAUAUUGUUAAGGGAAGGUGUAAUGUUAAAGGUGUAAUAGUGUUGAUGGAAGGUAUAAUGUAAAGGUGUAAUAGUUUUGAGGGAAGGUGUAAUGUUAAAGGUGUAAUAGUGUUGAGGGAAGGUAUAAUGUAAAGGUGUAAUAGUGUUGAGGGAAGGUAUAAUGUAAAGGUGUAAUAGUGUUGAGGGAAGGUGUAAUAGUGUUGAGGGAAGGUGUAAUAGUGUUGAGGGAAGGUGUAAUGUAAAGGUGUAAUAGUUUUGA